RNAcentral lists this ribosomal RNA (253 nucleotides) under uncultured bacterium. RNAcentral describes it as "partial 16S ribosomal RNA". It matches the Rfam family "Bacterial small subunit ribosomal RNA", at positions 524 to 776 of the family's 1533-position model. The record is from RNAcentral.
UACGUAGGGUGCAAGCGUUGUCCGGAAUUAUUGGGCGUAAAGAGCUUGUAGGCGGUUUGUCGCGUCUGCUGUGAAAUUUCGGGGCUCAACCCCGAACUUGCAGUGGGUACGGGCAGACUAGAGUGUGGUAGGGGAGACUGGAAUUCCUGGUGUAGCGGUGAAAUGCGCAGAUAUCAGGAGGAACACCGGUGGCGAAGGCGGCAUCCUGGACCAAUAUUGACGCUGAGGAGCGAAAGCCAGGGGAGCAAACGGG